GAGGAAGACCCCCUGUUCUAAUCACAAACUCUUGGACUCUAAGGACAGACAAGGACCACAAAAUACAAAGACUUUUUUUUCUGACAAACAGAGGGGUGAAGCUCCCCUGGGAUGCGAUCCGAACCUGUGUUGGUUUGAUCCCCCAAGAGGCACUGGUUCUGCACCUGCCGCCGACAUGCUCAACCCCUCAGUGAUUUGCAUGUUUCCCCCAGAGCCCAUUUCUGCUCUUCAGCAUCUUCAUUAGAGACUGCUCAGACACUUGGGGCAAAAAAGAGCCUCAAGCUAGGCCUCGGAUUGAACAUGGGAGUCCUGACCCAACUCCUCUGCCUUCUGCUGGCCUGCCUCCCAGCUGUCUGCGCGCACACGGAGCUGACCCAGUCUCCAGCCUUCCUCUCCGUGUCCCUGGGAGACAGCGUGUCCAUCACCUGCAGGGCCAACGAGAGCGUCAGCGAUUACUUGAGCUGGUAUCAGCAGAAACCAGGCCAGGCUCCUCAGCUUCUCAUCUAUGAUGCUGAUAACCUCAAGUCUGGUGUCCCAGCCCGGUUCUCUGCGAUUCAGUCGGACAAAGAAUUCACCUUCAAAAUCAGCGCAGUAGAAGCUGAGGAUGCUGCCAGUUAUUACUGCCAGCAGGAUUAUAUACUUCCUCCCACGGUGCUACAGCCCCGAGCAAUAACCUUCCCAGGGCUAGGUGGGGAGGGCAGGAGAAGCAGUGGGCUGUGCUCGAGGUGGUUACAGCAGCUGCAUUCUGCUCUGUGGCUAUUCAUUCUGGCAGGAGCUGCUUUGGGGAAGAGCUAGCAGGGCUCAAAUAUCAAGAGAUUUUGUCCUUUGAAAGCUUCUUUUCUUGAUAACACAAAUCCCAAACCACAGGAAUUCUUUUUUUUUUUUUUUAAAGAUUUUAUUUAUUUAUUUGACAGAGAUCACAAGUAAGCAGAGAGGCAGGCAGAGAGAGACAGAGAAGCAGGCUCCCUGUUGAACAGAAAGCCUGAUGCAGGGCUGGAUCCCAGGACUCUGGGAUCAUGACCUGAGCUGAAAGCAGAGGCUUUAACCCACUGAGCCACCCAGGCACCCCCAAACCUCAGGAAUUCUUAAAUGAAAUUUCUCUUGCAGGCCUGCAAUGGAAUUCACCCAUCGGAUGGACCUUGAAUCCUAUCUCUGAUAAACACUCUGAAGUAGGCAAAAAAAGGGAACCCGCAUCCAAACAAACACUACCAAUACUAUUAAGACUGCUAUGACUAAUACUAUUUUGCAAAUACUAGUACUACUAAUGUUAGUACUAAAACUUCAGGCACUACUAUUGUAAUGCUACUACUACUAAUGAAACUAAUAAACAUCCA
Molecule: non-coding RNA, 1334 nt
Organism: Mustela lutreola (European mink)
Lineage: Eukaryota; Metazoa; Chordata; Mammalia; Carnivora; Mustelidae
Source: the annotation of a RefSeq genome assembly